GGAGAGUUGCCGGAGCGGUUGAACGGGGCGGUCUCGAAAACCGUUGUGGGUUUAUGCCUACCCAGGGUUCGAAUCCCUGACUCUCCGCCA
This 90-nucleotide transfer RNA is filed under the name Candidatus Tenebribacter davisii. RNAcentral's name for it is "tRNA-Ser". It matches the Rfam family "tRNA". From Rfam's summary of the family: Transfer RNA (tRNA) molecules are approximately 80 nucleotides in length. Their secondary structure includes four short double-helical elements and three loops (D, anti-codon, and T loops). The record is from RNAcentral. Lineage: Bacteria; Pseudomonadati; Candidatus Cloacimonadota; Cloacimonadia (SeqCode); Cloacimonadales (SeqCode).